GUCCUGGCAGUAAAACGGUGUGCGCUUGGUGUGAGGGGAAUCGACCCCCCUUGUGCCGGAGCUAACGCGUUAAGCGCACCGCCUGGGAAGUACGGUCGCAAGACUAAAACUCAAAGAAAUUGACGGGGACCCGCACAAGCGGUGGAGUAUGUGGCUUAAUUCGAUGCAACGCGAAGAACCUUACCAAGGCUUGACAUGCAUCUCUAAGCGCGUGAAAGCGCGUGACCCUUCGGGGGAUUUGCACAGGUGCUGCAUGGCCGUCGU
RNAcentral lists this ribosomal RNA (264 nucleotides) under uncultured bacterium. RNAcentral describes it as "partial 16S ribosomal RNA". It matches the Rfam family "Bacterial small subunit ribosomal RNA", at positions 793 to 1055 of the family's 1533-position model. The record is from RNAcentral.